RNAcentral lists this transfer RNA (87 nucleotides) under Parcubacteria group bacterium CG1_02_50_68. RNAcentral's name for it is "tRNA-Tyr". It matches the Rfam family "tRNA". Rfam says of the family: Transfer RNA (tRNA) molecules are approximately 80 nucleotides in length. Their secondary structure includes four short double-helical elements and three loops (D, anti-codon, and T loops). The record is from RNAcentral. RNAcentral also lists the same sequence under 6 other names.
GCGUCGGUGGCGGAGCGGUCAAUCGCAACAGGCUGUAAACCUGUCGGACAUCGUCCUUCGUUGGUUCGAAUCCAACCCGGCGCACCU